This 91-nucleotide transfer RNA is filed under the name Deltaproteobacteria bacterium. RNAcentral describes it as "tRNA-Ser". It matches the Rfam family "tRNA". From Rfam's summary of the family: Transfer RNA (tRNA) molecules are approximately 80 nucleotides in length. Their secondary structure includes four short double-helical elements and three loops (D, anti-codon, and T loops). The record is from RNAcentral. Lineage: Bacteria; Pseudomonadati; Myxococcota; Myxococcia. RNAcentral also lists the same sequence under 3 other names.
GGAGAGGUGGCCGAGCGGCCGAAGGCGCUCCCCUGCUAAGGGAGUAUACCUCAUAAGGGUAUCCAGGGUUCAAAUCCCUGCCUCUCCGCCA